UUAAGCUCAAUUAAAUCAAAAACAAAAUGAAAGAGGAAAUUAGGUUAGAGUUUUAUGACCAUUGCAAUUUCAUCUUCUUCACGUGCGAGCGAGGCUUCUUCUUCCUUCGUGAACUCACGCAGACGGCGGUGCGCGAGACAUCCUCCUCCGGCGAACGGCGCCUCCCUCUCCACUCUUGCCAAUUAACUCUCCGGCCGUCGUGAAUGAAGAAACCAAAACAACAUCAUCUCGUCUCUCCAACUCCAUCGUCUCUCACCUCAAUCUCUCGUUUCCGAUUUGAACCUCUCGGUUCUCCUCUCGAUUUCGCUCUCAGUUCUCUCAGAAUUAGAUCGAUGGAGGUUUGUUGAAGAGGUGCGUUGAAUCAGUGGUGAUUUUCUGAAGUGCGAAGAAUAAUGGAUCGGUGAUGAUGAAACCGUGAAGAGCUUUUGGAAGAUGAUGCUGAGAAGAUUGAAUCACGUUCAAAGAUUGUCGACUCAAGGUUUUCGGUGAUUUUUCUAUUGAAUUUUGUUGAAUGAUGUUACGGUGAAUCAUUGAAGGAAUUGAUGAAUGGAGUUUUUGUGAGAAUGAGAGAUUGAAGAUUGAAGAGUCAUGGUAGUGGGGCGGUGAUGAAGAGGUGAAGGUUUGGAGGUGAAGAUUGAAGGUUAUCAAUUGAAGGUGCGGUUGGAGAAGUUUCCAUUUGCCAUGAAGAUUUUCUGAGAGUUUGUUAUGAGGUUUGGAUCAAUGGAGAGAGUGAAGCUUGUCCGAAAAAGUUUGUUACAGGCCCUUCCCGUAUGCAAGUUGCGGUUCGGUUUUAAUGUCGGUAGAAGCUGAGUUUGGAUGAUUCACCUUUGUGUAGAGGUUGUCGGUUUAUUUAGCACUACUCUGAACCGUUUCUCCGUUUCGGUUUUGUUUGUUAGAUGAUGCAGGCUGGUUCGGUUUUCUUACUUCAGAAAGUUGGCUUGAAUGCAGCAGGUGGAUUUUGAUGGAGCAUGAAGGACAAAUCCUUUUUCUUGUAUAAUUUUGUAAUAUUGGUUUUAGUGGGCUUUGUAAUUUGAAUGGCUUUGUGAAUGAAGUUGAAUGUAAUAACAUUUGUAUGGACUUUGAAUUGAAAUAUGGUUGAAUGAUCUUGAAUCUUGUAUAUCAAAAUACAUACGAAUGAAACUUCCAACUUGAACCAAUUUCUUUGCCAAAUGCUUAAGAACGAACCAAUUAGUCUUGAACACAAAACUAAAUUCAUGUUAUUAAGUAGUCUCUUGAAUCGACACAACUUUAUACCUCAUACUUGCACAAGAAUGUGAAUUAAAACCUUGUACGCCGUCUUAGAUCCAAGUCAACUUAUAUUGCAAACAACGAGUAACAGUGAUGAGAAUAAAACUUCUUUGAUCACAAUGAAUCUACAAAUUCACCUCUCAUGUCAUGACUCGC
Long non-coding RNA from Vicia villosa (hairy vetch), 1404 nucleotides. RefSeq lists it as uncharacterized. The transcript is spliced from 3 exons. NCBI's taxonomy places the organism in Eukaryota, Viridiplantae, Streptophyta, Magnoliopsida, Fabales, Fabaceae. The record is from RefSeq and is a predicted model, not a curated record.